This is an RNA transcript of Oncorhynchus mykiss (rainbow trout), 3888 nucleotides long. It is a transcript of the gene named YTH domain-containing family protein 1, with no coding region annotated. Lineage: Eukaryota; Metazoa; Chordata; Actinopteri; Salmoniformes; Salmonidae. The record is from RefSeq and is a predicted model, not a curated record.
GCUAUUGAAGAUGCAUGACUUCCGACGUUUUGUCGUUGAGGCACCGCGCCUGGUGUGCCGCUGACGUCAAUCCCUUCAUUUAGACCCCGGAUGAAACUGCUAGUGGGGGAAGUGAACAGGGCCAUCAGCACAAUAACUGCAAUUUGGUGGAUAAAGGGGGAAAAGCAAAAAUACAUAGGAUUAAUCCUAACAGUGGACCCUUUGAAACCAUCAGGACUAUCUCCAAAUUGGAUUUACGUAAACAUUGGGGGACUGGCAGAAUUGAGCCUUGGAACAGUAGUUUGAGUUAGCUUGCUGCUGACUGUAACGAAGGAAAACAUCUUGCUGAUUAGCUUGCUAGCUACUGUACUGGGAUACGAAUAAAACGCAGGUUUUGAGGGAACGCGUCUAAUUGAAACGCUCUACACAAAUCCAGUGGCUUGCUUCAUGAAUUAUGUCUGCUACAAGUAUUGACCCUCAGAAUUCAAAAGGACAAGACGCUAAAGUCUUUCCGGUUUCAGUGCAAAAUGGCUCACUCCACCAGAAGGAAACUGUCCAUGAUAAUGACUUUGAGCCCUAUCUCACUGGCCAAUCCAAUCAGAACAACAGCUACCAAUCCAUGACUGACCCUUACCUGUCCAGCUACUAUGCCCCCUCCAUUGGAUUCCCCUACCCCCUGAGCGAGGCACCUUGGUCCACCGGUGGCGACCCCCCGAUCCCUUACCUGACCCCCUAUGCGCCCCUUAGCAAUGGAGACCACCACUUCAUGCAUGACACCGUUUUUGGCCAGCCUGGGGGGCUUGGCAGCAGCAUCUACCCACAUAGAUUUAACUUUUUCCCUGAGAACCCAGCCUUCUCCACCUGGGGUACCAGUGGGUCUCAAGGCCAGCAGACUCAGAGUUCAGCCUAUGGGGGCAGCUACAGCUACCCUCCCAGCUCCCUGGGGGGCACACUAGUCCCUGAUGGUCAGACAGGGUUCCACAGUGACACACUGAGCAAGGCACCAGGCAUGAACAGCCUGGAGCAGGGGAUGCUGGGGCUGAAGAUAGGUGGGGAUGUGUCGGGCAAUGGCUCAGGCGUGAAGAGUGUGGGCUCUGUGAUCGGCGGUGGUGCUGUGGCUCAGGCUGUUUCUACAGGCAAUGGUGGAACACCAAUUGGCAUGCCCCCUCCUAAGCCCACGUCCUGGGCUGCUAUCGCUAGCAAACCAGCCAAGCCACAGCAGCUGAAGGCCAAGCCAGGCAUGCCCAUGGGGGGAGCCCUGCCACCACCACCCAUCAAACACAAUAUGGACAUUGGGACAUGGGAUAACAAGGGGUCUAUAAGCAAAGUGGCCCCUCCACUGUCCCACCACCAGCAGCAGCUCCACUCUCAUGGCCAUGCCCACCUCCCCCACGGGCUCCCCCCUCAGCAGUCUGUUCAAUCUGCCCAGUCCCUUGUGCAGCAGAUGACCAUGGGCCCGCCCCCCCCGCAGUCAUACCAGAACCACAACUCAGCCCCACCCCCUCAGACCCGCUGGGUUGCUCCACGCAACCGUAACCCGGGCUACGGUGGGGGCAGCAUGGACAGCAGCGGUUCCUCUAGUGGUGGGGGUGGAGGUGUGCCUCCAGGUUCUGGCCCAGGUCUAGAGAACCACCCUGUUCUGGAGAAUCUGCGGGCUGCCCACAGCUACAACCCUAAGGAGUUUGACUGGAACCUGAAGAAUGGCCGCGUGUUCAUCAUCAAGAGCUACUCUGAGGACGACAUCCACCGUUCCAUCAAGUACUCCAUCUGGUGCAGCACAGAGCAUGGCAACAAGCGUCUGGACUCAGCCUUCCGUGCCAUCAAUGCCAAAGGCCCUGUCUAUUUGCUGUUCAGCGUCAAUGGUAGCGGCCACUUCUGUGGCGUGGCAGAGAUGCUCUCGCCCGUGGACUACGGCACCAGUGCUGGCGUUUGGGCGCAGGACAAGUGGAAAGGCAAGUUUGACGUGGACUGGCUGUUUGUGAAAGACGUGCCUAAUAGCCAGCUGAGGCACAUCAGGCUGGAAAACAACGACAACAAGCCGGUGACCAACUCUAGGGACACUCAAGAGGUCCCUCUGGAGAAGGCUAAGCAGGUGCUCAAGAUCAUCGCAACUUACAAACACACCACCUCCAUCUUUGAUGACUUCUCCCACUAUGAGAAGAGACAGGAAGAAGAGGAGGUUGUCAGAAAGGUGGACUCCAAUCAAGUUGUAGAAACAUCUCAAGGAUGAUCAAUGGAAACAGGAUGCACCUGAGCUCAAUUUCAAGUCUCAUAGCAAAUGGUCUGAAUACUUUUGUAAGACCUAUGAGCCAGCUCCAAUACAGAGAGGGUCUCGACUUGAUCAGGAACGCCAAAACCGAAGUAAACCACAAUAGAGGAAUGCUCCUUAUAGCUUGAUCAAUGGUUAUACUUGGAUGGACAUAAUGGAAUUUAGAUCAUGAAAAAAGAGGACAUAAAGAAAUUGUCAACUCCUAUUUAUUUUGGCCCACAUCAAACUUUGAGCCACACUGCUUCUGGUCCGGUUCCCAGUCUAAGUCGUGCGCAGGGAUGAAGUCAGUUUCCAUUAAUCAAAUUGCUUCAUCCUUAUUUGUUUUCUUUCUUUCUGUAUUUUUAGCCUGGCAGGUCUUUAUUUGCUAUACUCCCACACUCACAUCCUUAACUGAGUAACAAAUAUCUGCACUUCUUUAACAAAAUCUAACAUGCUGCUGAUAUUCAGUGACUGUUCAACUUGUGGUGGUGUGAGUGUUGGAGAAACGUUAAGUGCUUGUAUUGGUUGUUCUGAUUUAGGAAGAGUGAAUGCGACAAUUAACUGAAUCUUGACAAAUGUUUGAUAACUGUACUUGGCCAGUUUUAUUUUGCAUAAUCAAAAUAAACUGUUCUGUUAUGCCCUUCUUGUCCAUGUGAGGGUGGUCUUGUGGCUUGGUAGAAGAUGUGAAAAGCUUCUGCAAAUGAUGCAUAUAAUGGAUAAUGUGAAAGGCUGUGACAUUAGAAAAUUUUAAUGUUUUAAAAAAAAAAGAAAUAUUUUUGAAAUUAGGUAUCACUUGGCUUAACACUGUUGUGACAACAAUUUGUUGAAGAAGAGAUACAAUAUGUUUUAUUUUCUUUCUUUUUUUUUCAGUGGAGCCUUAACACUUUUUCUGACAACAGUGUCAAUGAAACUCUAUUUGCUGUACUGUAACUCAAGUGUGUCAGCAAAAAGAUUCAGGGGAAAGAUGUCUAGAACAUCCGCUCUCAAAGGAGGUCCCUUUCUUUUUUCUUGAUGGGGUGGAAAUGUAAACUGUCUUGAGUUCAAGUUCUUAGCCGGACAAUACUAUUGUUGUCUUCUUCCUUGUUAUUUUAAAUCAUAGUUGUUACUUUUCUGUUCCCCAUCAUUCCAACAACGGGGUCAAUGAAACUAAGUCAUUUUGGGGACAAAUGUAGCAUGUACUGCUUUUAAAAUCAAGAUAGCCCUGUCACUCUGUUUCUUAUCCUUGUCCUUUUCUUAACAGAAGCAUUGAUAUAACCCUUCCACUUCAUCCUCAGAAAUGUUAAGCUUUAAUGUACUGGCAAUGCUAACUGAGAACGCCUCAAAUAUGUAAUCUUAAAAUUAAUUUGACUGAUUUAAUGUCAAGUGUAUGAAAACCCAGAGAAUAGUAUAUAUGGUAUCUGUGUGAUUUAUUUUUUUCCGGGACCUGCUUGCUGUAUGCCUGUAUGCGCAUAUGUCUGUAUGCGAAAGACAGAGGGGAGUGUGAUUUAUUGAGGGAAUCAGAUUUAUGUAAUGGUAUUGGAAAUUAUUCAUGAGAAUAUAUAAACAUUUAAGAAAACAAAUGUUUAAGUCACCCCUGAAUUUAAUAUGCGUUGUAUCAAAGGUCACUAUCACAUUCUUAGAUUUGAUCAUGGUCAUUAUUAAAGGUAUACUAUCUAUUGUAA